This 1957-nucleotide long non-coding RNA is filed under the name Gallus gallus (chicken). RNAcentral's name for it is "long non-coding RNA NONGGAT004449". Lineage: Eukaryota; Metazoa; Chordata; Aves; Galliformes; Phasianidae. The record is from RNAcentral.
CUCUGCAUCAAGGUCAGCAUGAUAGCACUGUCUCUCUAUGCUUAGGGAGAGGCCUGUCCCGUACAUCCCGUGCCCCCGCAAGACGCCUACUACAACACUGGAUAAAUUUCUAUUCAGAUGCAACUCAGGAUUACAGUUCAAGAUGGAGUAAGAGACUCACACCCAGAAAAAGAGGUGGUGAAAGUGACUGUUCAGACCUCCCGUUGCUGAGUUUCAGAAGAACGGAAUGUAGAAAACAAAGGAUAAAAUUUAAAAGGUCUUGCCUUGCUUAUAUCAUCAGUGCACUGCCAUUACAUCACCCACAGUAUGGGAACACUUCAUGAUUCACUGACUACUAAGUAUGAAAGGUGGACCAUUUUUUUUCCAGCAGCUGGCUGCUUUUCAAGGGUGCGACUGCUUUUUGCCCCCUGCAGAUGAUAAGCAGGCAGGCAUGCUGGCAGGACUCACAGGAGCCAGCUGUGACCUUGCCUUUGUGGCUGUUGGCUCUGCCUGCAGGAGACCUGCAGCUCUGCUGGAUGCCUGCUGAAUCCCUGUGGUCUCGCCAGAAUGUUUAUCCAUGAUGCUGCGGCUCCUGCUUCAUGACCAUGCUCCACGUCACCCACAAUCAGACUGUGUGCUGUCCCUGCUUCCUGAGCUGUUGAUCCAAGGAUCUGUAAAAUGACAGAAUUAGCCUUUUGUGGGAAGAGCAGGUAAUGGAUGAGACAAAUGAAUUCCAUCCUUCAUCCUCCCAGGAAGAGUAGAAGAAUCUCCACUAAUGUACUAGAUAAUGUACAGAUAAUUUUGUAGGUUGGAGUCUAAUGUCAGCACUGCCAUUUUGAUGGACCAUUAUGUUCCUCAUACCCUUUUGUGGAGCCUUUCAGAUCUGCUUUUCGUAGUUACAAAUACAGAACUCUGUAACCUGGAGGAGUGGCAGCAAGGGAUCUGCUCCAGCUCUGAGCACAGGGUUAUGCCCUUUACACAGAGAAAAGCAAGAAGCAUAAAACAUACAACUCUGAUUGAUUUCUCCACUCAGGCUUUGUCACUGUUCACAGAAGCAGCCAUACUGAACAGAAAUGUACACAAUCUGAACCUACCUGUCACACAUAUGUGUUCUUAGUAUAAAAGCAGAAAUUAAUAUUUUGUCCUCUUGUCCUAUCAAAUGUAUCUUAUCAUCUGCCCAUCAUUUGCUGAAAUGUCCUGCUGAAUGUGUAAGCAGGCCCAUCAUCCUGUACCAACAGGGAUGCUGGGCUUUCUUGCCAUUAUUAUUAUUAUGGAUGCACUGUGUUUGCACUGUGAGUAAAGAGCUCACACAAAAUCAAAUGACUGCUUUCAGACACAGAUAACAGAAACAAGCAAACAAACAAACAAACAAAAACAACCAACACUGAUUAUGCUGUAUGUAUUUAUCUGCAGCUUCCCUGAAGCCAGGAUGGCUUCACUCAGCUGUCACUUCCUUAGGCUGAUUUGCGGGACUGUGCAGGCUAUAGCAUUUCUAAUGGCAUAGUUUGCAAGUGAAUGCAUCUGUGGUACGUUCUUCAAGACACGUUCUUCAUUUUGAGAUCUGGGUGGGUUUUUUUUUUUUUUAUUUAAUCAUCCUUUAACUCCCACACGUUCUCAUUGUAUAUAUGCUUGCAAAUUUCCCAGCAGAAGAAUAAAACUCCACUGGAGCAUAUUGUACUUUUAAAUGCUGUGAAGAAAACAGAACCCUUUCCGCAUUGUGCUGCUGCUAUCAUUAGUAACACCGAGACAACAGAGACCUGUGAGAAGCGAGGCUUCUAACACCCCCUGAAGAAUGCCCUCACUGCUUAUUCAGGCCUUUCCAUUCUUUCUAGCAACGGCUCAAAAUUCAAGCACAAAUCAUCCCAAAGCACGCCGGAGCCCAGGGGUGCAGGAUGAGCGGCCAGGUAAGCCACACUGCCCUGCUUUCUAUGAGCAGUGUGUGGUGGCUGAGCACAAUCUGAGUGCCCAUGCCCCGGGC